GGUGGCAUGAGUUGGUCGAUGGCGGCGGACUGUAAAUCCGUUUCUCUAAACGGGACGCGUUGGUUCGAAUCCAACCCCUGCGACCA
This 86-nucleotide transfer RNA is filed under the name Siphoviridae sp. ctmpG14. Its description in RNAcentral is "tRNA-Tyr". It matches the Rfam family "tRNA". From Rfam's summary of the family: Transfer RNA (tRNA) molecules are approximately 80 nucleotides in length. Their secondary structure includes four short double-helical elements and three loops (D, anti-codon, and T loops). Further hydrogen bonds mediate the characteristic L-shaped molecular structure. tRNAs have two regions of fundamental functional importance: the anti-codon, which is responsible for specific mRNA codon recognition, and the 3' end, to which the tRNAs corresponding amino acid is attached (by aminoacyl-tRNA synthetases). tRNAs cope with the degeneracy of the genetic code in two manners: having more than one tRNA (with a specific anti-codon) for a particular amino acid; and 'wobble' base-pairing, i.e. permitting non-standard base-pairing at the 3rd anti-codon position. Lineage: Duplodnaviria; Heunggongvirae; Uroviricota; Caudoviricetes. The record is from RNAcentral.